UAGUGAUUUCCGUAGGUGAACCUGCGGAGGGAUCAUUACCGAAGAAAAGGCGCUCUGCGUCCGGCCUCCAACCCUUUGUUCGUCUCAACCAUGUUGCCUCGGGGGGCGACCCGGCCCUCGUGCCGGGCGACCCCGGAGGUCCAUCAAACUCUGCAUCCUUGCGUCGGAGUAUUGAAAGCACAUCAAUCAAAACUUUUAACAACGGAUCUCUAGGUUCUGGCAUCGAUGAAGAACGCAGCGAAAUGCGGAUAAGUAAUGUGAAUUGCAGAAUUCAGUGAAUCAUCGAAUCUUUGAACGCACAUUGCGCCCUUUUGGUAUUCCCGGGGGCAUGCCCGUUCGAGCGUCAUUACACCACUCAAGCCUCGCUUGGUCUUGGGCGGCGGGCCCCCGCGCCCCCGCCCCCAUAUCUGCCGGCUGGACGGUUGGGUUCUCAGCGUUGUGAAUCAAGUUCGCUCUGAUCCCCGGCCGGACGCGCCGUUCAAAUAUUCACCAGGUUGACCUCGGAUCGGGUAGGGAUACCCGCUGAACUUAAGCAUAUCAAUAAGCGGAGGAA
RNAcentral lists this ribosomal RNA (553 nucleotides) under uncultured Capnodiales. RNAcentral describes it as "eukaryotic LSU rRNA". The stretch from base 191 to 346 matches the Rfam family "5.8S ribosomal RNA". Lineage: Eukaryota; Fungi; Ascomycota; Dothideomycetes; Capnodiales. The record is from RNAcentral.